RNAcentral lists this ribosomal RNA (329 nucleotides) under uncultured eukaryote. Its description in RNAcentral is "partial 18S ribosomal RNA". It matches the Rfam family "Eukaryotic small subunit ribosomal RNA", at positions 1470 to 1796 of the family's 1831-position model. The record is from RNAcentral.
CCCUUAGAUGUUCUGGGUCGCACGCGCGCUACAAUGAUGAAUUCAACGAGUUUAUAACCUUGGUUGAAAAGCCUGGGUAAUCUUUUGAACUUUCGUCGUGAUGGGGCUAGACCCUUGCAAUUAUUGGUCUCCAACGAGGAAUUCCUAGUAAACGCAAGUCAUCAGCUUGCAUUGAUUACGUCCCUGCCCUUUGUACACACCGCCCGUCGCACCUACCGAUUGAAUGGUCCGGUGAAAUCUUCGGAUUGAGACUUUGAUUUCUUCACGGAAAACGCUGUUUUAAAAAGUUGAUUAAACCUUACCAUUUAGAGGAAGGUGAAGUCGUAACA